Molecule: ribosomal RNA, 101 nt
Filed under: Oenococcus oeni
Lineage: Bacteria; Bacillati; Bacillota; Bacilli; Lactobacillales; Lactobacillaceae
Description: partial 16S ribosomal RNA
Rfam family: Bacterial small subunit ribosomal RNA
Source: RNAcentral
GAGCAUGUGGUUUAAUUCGAAGAUACGCGAAAAACCUUACCAGGUCUUGACAUACCAAUGAUCGCUUUUGUAAUGAAAGCUUUUCUUCGGAACAUUGGAUA